Molecule: ribosomal RNA, 450 nt
Filed under: uncultured bacterium
Lineage: Bacteria
Description: bacterial SSU rRNA
Rfam family: Bacterial small subunit ribosomal RNA
Source: RNAcentral
GUGGGGAAUAUUGGACAAUGGGCGAAAGCCUGAUCCAGCCAUGCCGCGUGUGUGAAGAAGGUCUUCGGAUUGUAAAGCACUUUAAGUUGGGAGGAAGGGCAGUAAGUUAAUACCUUGCUGUUUUGACGUUACCGACAGAAUAAGCACCGGCUAACUUCGUGCCAGCAGCCGCGGUAAUACGAAGGGUGCAAGCGUUAAUCGGAAUUACUGGGCGUAAAGCGCGCGUAAGUGGUUUUGUAAGUUGGAGGUGAAAUCCCCGGGCUCAACCUGGGAACUGCCUCCAAAACUGCAUGACUAGAGUACGGUAGAGGGUAGUGGAAUUUCCUGUGUAGCGGUGAAAUGCGUAGAUAUAGGAAGGAACACCAGUGGCGAAGGCGACUACCUGGACUGAUACUGACACUGAGGUGCGAAAGCGUGGGGAGCAAACAGGAUUAGAAACCCGAGUAGUCC